RNAcentral lists this long non-coding RNA (1788 nucleotides) under Salmo salar (Atlantic salmon). RNAcentral describes it as "lncRNA (ENSSSAG00000108346.1)". The record is from RNAcentral. Lineage: Eukaryota; Metazoa; Chordata; Actinopteri; Salmoniformes; Salmonidae.
UUGAUGAGUGAGGGGGAGGCGAAAGAUGCAUAAUUACGUAAUCAUUGUGAAUGAAGAACAGUGCUGGUCUUUCUAUUGUAUUGAUCGUUUCUAAUUCCACCGAACAAAAAUAUGAACGCAACAUGCAACAAUUUCAAAGAUAUUACUGAGUUACAGUUCAUAUAAGGAAAUCAGUCAAUUUAAAUAAAUUAUUUAAGGCCUAAUCAAUGGAUUUCACAUGACUGGGAAUACAGAUAUGCAUCUGUUGGUCACAGAUACAGGGUCAGUUAAUACCAUACUACAUACAGGGUCAGUUAAUACCAUACUAUAUACGGGGUCAGUUAAUACCAUACUAUAUACAGGGUCAGUUAAUACCAUACUAUAUACAGAAUCAGUUAAUACCAUACUAUAUACAGGGUCAGAUAAUACCAUACUAUAUACAGGGUCAGUUAAUACCAUACUAUAUACAGGGUCAGUUCAUACCAUACUAUAUACAGGGUCAGUUAAUACCAUACUAUAUACAGUUAAUACCAUACUAUAUACAGGGUCAGUUCAUACCAUACUAUAUACAGGGUCAGUUCAUACCAUACUAUAUACAGGGUCAGUUCAUACCAUACUAUAUACAGGAUCAGUUGAUACCAUACUAUAUACAGGAUCAGUUAAUACCAUACUAUAUACAGGGUCAGUUAAUACCAUACUAUAUACAGGAUCAGUUGAUACCAUACUAUAUACAGGGUCAGUUAAUACCAUACUAUAUACAGGAUCAGUUGAUACCAUACUAUAUACAGGGUCAGUUAAUACCAUACUAUAUACAGGAUCAGUUAAUACCAUAUUAUAUAGAGGAUCAGUUAUUACCAUACUAUAUACAGUUAAUAACAUACUAUAUACAGGGUCAGUUAAUACCAUACUAUGUGCAGGGUCAGUUCAAUACCAUAUUGACAAUAUGCAGGGAUACUGGAGUGAUGGAGGUAGAUAUGUAUAGGGGUAAGGUGACUAUAUACAGGAUAUAAAAUAAACAGAGUAGCAGCAGCUUGUAUGUAAGUGGGUGUGCGUGUGUUUAGUAAAAGGUCAAUAAAGAUACAAGAUUAACUCAGAUAGUCCAUGUAGCUAUUUUGGUAACUAUAUAUCAGUCGUAUUGCUUGGGGAUAAAAGCUGUUCAAGAGCCUGUUAGUGUCAGACUUGAUGCACCGGUACCGCCUGCCGUGUGAAAACAGAGAGAAUAGUCCACGGCUUGGGUGGUUGGAGUCUUUAACGAUUUUCCGGGCCUUCCUUCCACACCGCCUUAUAUUGAUGUCCUGGAUGGCAGGGAGCUCAGCCCCAGUGAUGUACUGGGCUGUCCGCACCACCCUGUUUAGCACCAUGCGAUCGAGGGCGGUGCUAUUGCCAUACCAGGCAGUGAUGCAGCCAGUCAAAUGCUCUCAAUGGUACAGCUGUAGAACUUUCUGAGGAUUUGUGUGCCCAUGACAAACUUUUUCAAUCUCCCGAGGGGGAAGAGGUGCUGUUGCCCCUUCUUCACUACUGUGUGUGUGUGUGUGUUUGGACCAUUUGGAGUCGUGUGUGGCCACGCAGUCGUGGGUGAACAGGGAGUACAGGAGGGGAAUAAGCACACACCCUUGUGGAGCCCCUGUGUUGAGGGUCAGCGUUGGGGAGGUGAUGUUGCCUACCCUCACCACCUGUGGUCAGCACGUCAGGAAGUCCAGGAUCCAGUUGCAGAGGGAGGUGUUCAGACCCAGAGUCCUAAGCUCGGUGACGAGCUUUGAGGGGACAAUGGUGUUGAAAGCUGAGCUGUAGUCAAUGAACAACAUUCUC